Molecule: ribosomal RNA, 465 nt
Filed under: Vreelandella stevensii
Lineage: Bacteria; Pseudomonadati; Pseudomonadota; Gammaproteobacteria; Oceanospirillales; Halomonadaceae
Description: partial 16S ribosomal RNA
Rfam family: Bacterial small subunit ribosomal RNA
Source: RNAcentral
CCUACGGGUGGCUGCAGUGGGGAAUAUUGGACAAUGGGCGAAAGCCUGAUCCAGCCAUGCCGCGUGUGUGAAGAAGGCCUUCGGGUUGUAAAGCACUUUCAGUGGGGAAGAAAGCCUUGGGGCUAAUACCCUCGAGGAAGGACAUCACCCACAGAAGAAGCACCGGCUAACUCCGUGCCAGCAGCCGCGGUAAUACGGAGGGUGCGAGUGUUAAUCGGAAUUACUGGGCGUAAAGCGCGCGUAGGCGGUCUGAUAAGCCGGUUGUGAAAGCCCCGGGCUCAACCUGGGAACGGCAUCCGGAACUGUCAGGCUAGAGUGCAGGAGAGGUAGGUAGAAUUCCCGGUGUAGCGGUGAAAUGCGUAGAGAUCGGGAGGAAUACCAGUGGCGAAGGCGGCCUUCUGGACUGACACUGACGCUGAGGUGCGAAAGCGUGGGUAGCAAACAGGAUUAGAUACCCUAGUAGUC